Molecule: ribosomal RNA, 471 nt
Filed under: uncultured bacterium
Lineage: Bacteria
Description: bacterial SSU rRNA
Rfam family: Bacterial small subunit ribosomal RNA
Source: RNAcentral
UGGGGAAUAUUGGACAAUGGGGGUAACCCUGAUCCAGCAAUGCCGCGUGUGUGAAGAAGGCCUUCGGGUUGUAAAGCACUUUCGGUGGGGACAAACAAGGCGGAGCUAACAUCUCCGUCCCUGAUGGUACCCAAAGAAGAAGCACCGGCUAACUCUGUGCCAGCAGCCGCGGUAAUACAGAGGGUGCAAGCGUUAAUCGGAAUUACUGGGCGUAAAGCGUGCGUAGGUGGUUUGUUAAGUCAGGUGUGAAAUCCCGGGGCUCAACCUCGAAAUUGCGCUUGAUACUGGCAGACUCGAGUGUGGUAGAGGAUAGUGGAAUUCCCGGUGUAGCGGUGAAAUGCGUAGAUAUCGGGAGGAACAUCAGUGGCGAAGGCGGCUAUCUGGACUAACACUGACACUGAGGUACGAAAGCGUGGGUAGCAAACAGGAUUAGAUACCCCCGUAGUCCCUGAGCGGGCUGGCAAGGCGCAU